ACGGGUGCGCGUAAUUUAAAAAAAAUAUCAAGCUGUGACCGUGACUUUAGGGACCCCCUCA
This 61-nucleotide transfer RNA is filed under the name Sonora semiannulata (Variable ground snake). RNAcentral's name for it is "tRNA-His". Lineage: Eukaryota; Metazoa; Chordata; Lepidosauria; Squamata; Colubridae. The record is from RNAcentral.